This 525-nucleotide ribosomal RNA is filed under the name Saitozyma podzolica. Its description in RNAcentral is "partial large subunit ribosomal RNA". It matches the Rfam family "Eukaryotic large subunit ribosomal RNA", at positions 132 to 648 of the family's 3401-position model. The record is from RNAcentral. Lineage: Eukaryota; Fungi; Basidiomycota; Tremellomycetes; Tremellales; Trimorphomycetaceae.
GGGCGUCCGCAUUGUAAUCUAUAGAGGCGUUUUCUGUGCUGGACCGUGUCCAAGUCCCUUGGAACAGGGUAUCAAAGAGGGUGACAAUCCCGUACUUGACACGACAACCAGUGCUCUGUGAUACGUCUUCUACGAGUCGAGUUGUUUGGGAAUGCAGCUCAAAAUGGGUGGUGAAUUCCAUCUAAAGCUAAAUAUUGGCGAGAGACCGAUAGCGAACAAGUACCGUGAGGGAAAGAUGAAAAGCACUUUGGAAAGAGAGUUAAACAGUAUGUGAAAUUGUUGAAAGGGAAACGAUGGAGGUCAGUCGUGUCUGUGGGAUUCAGCCGUCUCUGGCGGUGUACUUCCCACAGACGGGUCAACAUCAGUUUUGGCUGGCGGAUAAAGGCAGGAGGAAGGUGGCACCCCCGGGUGUGUUAUAGCCUCUUGUUGCAUACGCUGGCUGAGACUGAGGAAUGCAGCUCGCCUUUAUGGCCGGGGUUCGCCCACGUUCGAGCUUAGGAUGUUGACAUAAUGGCCUUCAACGAC